RNAcentral lists this long non-coding RNA (317 nucleotides) under Brassica napus (rape). Its description in RNAcentral is "long non-coding RNA (BNAP_LNC004627)". Lineage: Eukaryota; Viridiplantae; Streptophyta; Magnoliopsida; Brassicales; Brassicaceae. The record is from RNAcentral.
UCAUGUGAGUUAACAUCUGCAUCUCCUUGUGCAAGCAUUUCAGAUAGAUGUUUCCUGGCUGCAAUGUAUAUGCCACACACACUCUUCUUGGAAUCUUCACUGCCAUUGAUAGUACUCUCUUCAGGUGAAACAUGCCGCCUGGAACUAGUCUCUAUCUCCUCUCCCAGACAGGAGUUUUGACUCAUGAUGUCAGAUGACAAUGCAUCAGGAUCAUUGCAUGGAUUCUUCUUAGCAGAAGAUUUUAGUCUUCUUCUUCUGAUGAUCCUACUGAGAAUGAAUGAACUCCCCUUUUUGGCCUUGUUGCAUGUAGCUUGUGU